RNAcentral lists this ribosomal RNA (622 nucleotides) under Lactobacillus gasseri. Its description in RNAcentral is "bacterial SSU rRNA". It matches the Rfam family "Bacterial small subunit ribosomal RNA", at positions 371 to 984 of the family's 1533-position model. Lineage: Bacteria; Bacillati; Bacillota; Bacilli; Lactobacillales; Lactobacillaceae. The record is from RNAcentral.
AUGGACGCAAGUCUGAUGGAGCAACGCCGCGUGAGUGAAGAAGGGUUUCGGCUCGUAAAGCUCUGUUGGUAGUGAAGAAAGAUAGAGGUAGUAACUGGCCUUUACUUGACGGUAAUUACUUAGAAAGUCACGGCUAACUACGUGCCAGCAGCCGCGGUAAUACGUAGGUGGCAAGCGUUGUCCGGAUUUAUUGGGCGUAAAGCGAGUGCAGGCGGUUCAAUAAGUCUGAUGUGAAAGCCUUCGGCUCAACCGGAGAAUUGCAUCAGAAACUGUUGAACUUGAGUGCAGAAGAGGAGAGUGGAACUCCAUGUGUAGCGGUGGAAUGCGUAGAUAUAUGGAAGAACACCAGUGGCGAAGGCGGCUCUCUGGUCUGCAACUGACGCUGAGGCUCGAAAGCAUGGGUAGCGAACAGGAUUAGAUACCCUGGUAGUCCAUGCCGUAAACGAUGAGUGCUAAGUGUUGGGAGGUUUCCGCCUCUCAGUGCUGCAGCUAACGCAUUAAGCACUCCGCCUGGGGAGUACGACCGCAAGGUUGAAACUCAAAGGAAUUGACGGGGGCCCGCACAAGCGGUGGAGCAUGUGGUUUAAUUCGAAGCAACGCGAAGAACCUUACCAGGUCUUGA